CCUACGGGUGGCAGCAGUGAGGAAUAUUUGUCAAUGGACGCAAGUCUGAACCAGCCAUGCCGCGUGCAGGAAGACGGCUCUAUGAGUUGUAAACUGCUUUUGUACGAGGGUAAACGCAGAUACGCGUAUCUGUCUGAAAGUAUCGUACGAAUAAGGAUCGGCUAACUCCGUUCCAGCAGCCGCCGUAAUACGGAGGAUUCAAGCGUGAUCCGGAUUGAUUGGGUUUAAAGGGUGCGUAGGCGGUCGGAUAAGUUAGAGGUGAAAUCCCGAGGCUCAACUUCGGAAUUGCAUCUGAUACUGUUCGGCUAGAGUGUAGUUGCGGGAGGCGGAAUGUAUGGUGUAGCAGUGAAAUGCGUAGAGAUC
RNAcentral lists this ribosomal RNA (363 nucleotides) under uncultured bacterium. RNAcentral describes it as "partial 16S ribosomal RNA". It matches the Rfam family "Bacterial small subunit ribosomal RNA", at positions 338 to 698 of the family's 1533-position model. The record is from RNAcentral.